AUAUCAAUAAGCGGAGGAAAAGAAACCAACAGGGAUUGCCUCAGUAACGGCGAGUGAAGCGGCAACAGCUCAAAUUUGAAAGCUGGCCCUUUUAGGGUCCGCGUUGUAAUUUGUAGAGGAUGAUUCGGCGAGGGCUCCCGCCUAAGUCCCCUGGAACGGGGCGUCAUAGAGGGUGAGAAUCCCGUAUGCGGUGGGCUGCCUUAGCCAUGUGAAUCUCCUUCGACGAGUCGAGUUGUUUGGGAAUGCAGCUCUAAAUGGGAGGUAAAUUUCUUCUAAAGCUAAAUACCGGCCAGAGACCGAUAGCGCACAAGUAGAGUGAUCGAAAGAUGAAAAGCACUUUGGAAAGAGAGUUAAAAAGUACGUGAAAUUGUUGAAAGGGAAGCGCUUGCAACCAGACUUGUCCGCAGUUGCUCAGCCGGUCUCCUGACCGGCGUACUCUUCUGCGGCCAGGCCAGCAUCAGUUCGGGCGGUCGGAUAAAGACCUCGGGAAUGUAGCUCCUCUCGGGGAGUGUUAUAGCCCGGGGUGGAAUGCGGCCAGCCUGGACUGAGGAUCUCGCUUCGGCAAGGAUGCUGGCGUAAUGGUUGUAAGCGG
RNAcentral lists this ribosomal RNA (592 nucleotides) under Diplodia agrifolia. Its description in RNAcentral is "eukaryotic LSU rRNA". It matches the Rfam family "Eukaryotic large subunit ribosomal RNA", at positions 40 to 647 of the family's 3401-position model. Lineage: Eukaryota; Fungi; Ascomycota; Dothideomycetes; Botryosphaeriales; Botryosphaeriaceae. The record is from RNAcentral.